AUGCUGUCCCAAUUUUGCACAAGAAUAGAAAACCACCAACCUGCAUCAAGAAAGCAAGAAGAAGUGAACAAAAACAAUUUCAACCCUUCUAUUUCAACGCACAGCAUAAUCCCUCAUCUGGAAAUUCCCCUUCAAAAAAACAAAACAAACACAAUUCCGCUUUCCUGCCAUCUCCCUCUGUUAUGUUCAUCUUCCACGAAGUUCUCCACAAACCAGCCAUCAUCUCCAUUACAUACUCAACUAACCUUCACUCCAAACACUCCAUACCCCCUCAUAAACCAGAAAUCUUCAUCACCUUUUUAA
Molecule: non-coding RNA, 303 nt
Organism: Vicia faba (fava bean)
Lineage: Eukaryota; Viridiplantae; Streptophyta; Magnoliopsida; Fabales; Fabaceae
Source: the annotation of a GenBank genome assembly